This is a long non-coding RNA of Aegilops tauschii subsp. strangulata, 2018 nucleotides long. RefSeq lists it as uncharacterized. Lineage: Eukaryota; Viridiplantae; Streptophyta; Magnoliopsida; Poales; Poaceae. The record is from RefSeq and is a predicted model, not a curated record.
GUUUUUUUUAUUACUGUAAUUAUACUUUUUUUAUUGUAAGUCUAUGUAAUAAUGUUAUAAAACUGGGAAUUCUAAUAAAAUUUUGCAUAGACUAUGUCACGUGGAGCCAAAAUGAAGCAGGUCCUAUCAGCCGCCAAUGAAGGACAAAAUAUCAAUGUGAAAAGAUUAGCGAGGGCGGAGCGCGCGGGGAGGCAAAAUUCUCAGUGCCUUACGCGGGGUGUCAAAUUUCGAUCGAUUUAACCCUGCAUCGAACACAAAGACCUAACCCCGUCCCUUCUCCCACUUCGUGCGCCGCCCCCAUCCCAUCGUCGCCGCCCCGCAUCCCUCCUACUCCUCCUCGAGCCUCCUGCAUCGCAUACUCAUAGCAGCGCCGUCCAGAUCCGUCAAAGACGGUGAGUCGCCCUUCUCUCAUAGCAGGGCCGCCAAUCUCUUCGUCCUCGUCCUCAUCCACAAUAGACGCUGCAUGGAUCUCCAGAGACGGCGCACUGGUGAUGCGGGUCUCGACGAGGCCGGCAUCAGUGGCCUUCGUCGAGGCCAAGAACUCAUGGAGCUUCAGAUCUCCAUCAGACCUAUCUGUAAGGGAAUACGGUUAGUCCAAAGUCAUUUUUUGGCUUUUCCAUCCGCUGUUGACAUAGCUGUAGACUUUCGAUCUUUGUUUAACUCCGAUGUUAGUGCUGCCGGUAUUGUCCUUGGUGGGGUGGCGACAAUGCGUUCAGGUCCACUCACGCCUGGCUGCUGCUGCACGUUCAAGCAUGAGCAGUCCCGUCGCCGGCAUCACAGGACGAGUGGCAGCCUAGAAGCAGUUUCUAUCACAGACGACGGGCUCAGAUUCUUGUGCAUAGAAAAAACAUUAUGCACGCCAUGGAUGCAUGUUAAUAUAUUUAUAGUCUAUAUCGUGUGUUGGAUGUGGUACUUUUUACAUGUUGGAGUAGUACUAAUAAGUCUCUAAUUAAUCCAGCAAUUCAGCGUGCGUGCGUAGUGUGUUGUAUCUAGCAAGAACCGAUCAGUCUGAUGGUUAGCUUUCUAACUAUUGUGUACGUUGAUUCAUCGUUAAUCAAUUAAUACAGAUGGAGUUUGCUUUGUGCAGGAUCAUGUCAAAGAGGAAUUGCCAUCCUUUGUCGUCAUCAUGGUCGCCCCAUGCCGAAAAGUACUCGCGUAUGAAUGGGGCCAAGUCGGCGAAUCGUCAUCAGCGAGCUAGAAUGUUCGAUGGGUUCACUCACAUAUAUUUUCUCAAAAGAUAAGGGAUAUAAAAUAUAGAAUCUUCCAACUUUCGGAGACAAUGUGUCUUUGAAGGGGAAAGUCUAAAUGUUGGACAAAGCAUAUUGGACUACAAAGUUAUCCAAGCAGCAAGAGGAAGUAGCAAGUAUGUCAACCCGUCUACUCUGUAUUGAUUUUUUAUUCAGAUUACACAAAUCCAUGCAUUUUUUAUAUAGUCCGAAUUCUUAGUUUCAGUCCUUCUAACAUUGCAUCUAUCAGAUGUGAGUCUAAUUGUUGAGUAUCACGGGAGACGAAACAGAACCAAUGUAUGGAAUAGUUAUUAAAAUCAAGAUGCCAUCUAUCUAUCAUAUUAUCACUUUACAUGCUACUGUUGUUGUAUCAUUACAUUGAUUGGUGCAACAGAAAAAGUGUUUCUUGAAUAAUCCUACUUACAUUGCUCCACUCUUGGACAAGAUGAAGAAGGGAAAAUAAGAGUUGUCAUUUUGUUAUGAAGGAUUAAGAGCAGCUAAAGCUUCUUCCACUAUGGGAUCUAAGACAACCAAUGAACAAGAUAAUUUUCUCAUGUUGUCCUUCCCUAUAUCUAAGCUCACUUUACAUGACUCGUUAACUAGAAUUUUUUUAUUUCUUGAUUGUAGGAUCCAAAGAACUAGUUGGACUGGACUCUACAUCAUGGACAGUUUAGUCUUCGUAGUUAAUUAGGAUGGCUAAAUUACAUUUGAGUUUCAUUUGAUGGAUAUUUGCUACGAGAAUUAUGAAUUUUAUGAAUCUACAUAUCAUACAUAUGGUUUUGAAUAUUGUCA